Molecule: ribosomal RNA, 275 nt
Filed under: uncultured Rikenellaceae bacterium
Lineage: Bacteria; Pseudomonadati; Bacteroidota; Bacteroidia; Bacteroidales; Rikenellaceae
Description: partial 16S ribosomal RNA
Rfam family: Bacterial small subunit ribosomal RNA
Source: RNAcentral
UGCUAGUUGCCAGCGGGUCGAUGCCGGGGACUCUAGCGGAACUGCCAGCGUAAGCUGCGAGGAAGGUGGGGAUGACGUCAAAUCAGCACGGCCCUUACGUCCAGGGCUACACACGUGUUACAAUGGCCAGUACAGAGGGCAGCCACCCCGCGAGGGGGCGCUAAUCCUAAAAGCUGGUCCCAGUUCGGAUCGGAGUCUGCAACCCGACUCCGUGAAGCUGGAUUCGCUAGUAAUCGCGCAUCAGCCACGGCGCGGUGAAUACGUUCCCGGGCCUU